GCUGGAUAAGAAAUGCAUCGAAGAUAUUAAUCAGCUCAUAGCACAGAGGUUGUGGAUUUUCAAACCAAUCCCCUGUGGAUAACAACUGUCGCAGGGUAUCUGAAUUUGGGGAGAACAUAAGUCCAUGACACAUGUGUACAAAACUUUCAUUGGGAUAUUAGUGUCAUAAUAAUAAUAUAUAACAACAUACAACAGAGCAACCAACAAGCUUAACACCUGAGAAAAGAUAGGUGCCUCCCAGAAGUAACAAACAUGAGUACUUGAUUACCUAGGGCACACAUAGCACAGACCAAGAUAUAAUCGCCUUGAAAGUGGAUGAAAAGAAUGCAGCUGAAACAUUUAUCAAAUUAUUGGAGGCCAAAUGUGAACACUAGUGAAGAUCAACUGUGGUUGGAGAAAUGAAGAACAGCAAAACUCUAACCCCGGGACAAGUACAAGAUUACUGAGAAAGCUUCACCCCACAAACUCAGGGGCACUAAGACUGAGGCUGAGCCGUAACGACAGAAUUUUCCCACUGUUAAAGCAAAUAAAUAUGGCCUGAGAAGGAUUUCUAUAUUUGAGUCCUUGUGGACUAACUGCAACCUAGCUUAACAGGGUAAGACCAUUUAAAGGGACCAAAAAUGGAUGAACAUACUUGGCACUAUGAACUAAAAGAUCUUUGGCUAAAGAAGAGAUGAAGACUCAUUCAACUCCUACAAGUGAAUUAAGGAGCUCUGAGAAGGCAAAGCCAGCCCAGGAGGGUGGACACACUAAGAACAAUGUGCCUUGUCCUGAUACACAGUUGUGGUAUAGGUAACAAAAUCUGAGUAUCCAACCUAAGAUGUUACCCCUCACCUCACCAGAAUACCUCCAAUCCCUUCCCUGGAAACACAGAAUAAAUUCCUAUAGAAAGUUAU
RNAcentral lists this long non-coding RNA (896 nucleotides) under Homo sapiens (human). RNAcentral describes it as "HSALNT0173533". Lineage: Eukaryota; Metazoa; Chordata; Mammalia; Primates; Hominidae. The record is from RNAcentral.